UUUAAGUAAGUUUCUUUGAGUCUUCAUAACUGUUUUCUUGUUUUUCGUGUUUAAGUUUUGUCAUCAUCUUACUUCCUUUUUUGUUUAGCUUUCUUUCUUUCAACUUUUCUUACUUGUCUUUAAAUUCUCUUAAAUUUUUGUUGGGGGAUUCUUUGCAUGAGCAAGUGCUAAGAGUUUUGACCUCUUUCACUUGAAGUGUUGCUACCAAGUGUAGACCCUUUGGCGUUUUUGAAAACCUUUCUUGAGUGAUUCUACCCUUU
This 260-nucleotide long non-coding RNA is filed under the name Phaseolus vulgaris (common bean). RNAcentral's name for it is "long non-coding RNA (PVUL_LNC002940)". Lineage: Eukaryota; Viridiplantae; Streptophyta; Magnoliopsida; Fabales; Fabaceae. The record is from RNAcentral.